Molecule: ribosomal RNA, 795 nt
Filed under: uncultured bacterium
Lineage: Bacteria
Description: bacterial SSU rRNA
Rfam family: Bacterial small subunit ribosomal RNA
Source: RNAcentral
AGAGUUUGAUCAUGGCUCAGAUUGAACGCUGGCGGCAUGCCUUACACAUGCAAGUCGAACGGCAGCGCGGGAGCAAUCCUGGCGGCGAGUGGCGAACGGGUGAGUAAUACAUCGGAACGUGCCCAAUCGUGGGGGAUAACGCAGCGAAAGCUGUGCUAAUACCGCAUACGAUCUACGGAUGAAAGCAGGGGACCCGCAAGGGCCUUGCGCGAAUGGAGCGGCCGAUGGCAGAUUAGGUAGUUGGUGAGGUAAAGGCUCACCAAACCAACGAUCUGUAGCUGGUCUGAGAGGACGACCAGCCACACUGGGACUGAGACACGGCCCAGACUCCUACGGGAGGCAGCAGUGGGGAAUUUUGGACAAUGGGCGCAAGCCUGAUCCAGCCAUGCCGCGUGCAGGAUGAAGGCCUUCGGGUUGUAAACUGCUUUUGUACGGAACGAAAAGUCUCUUUCUAAUAAAGAGGGACCAUGACGGUACCGUAAGAAUAAGCACCGGCUAACUACGUGCCAGCAGCCGCGGUAAUACGUAGGGUGCAAGUGUUAAUCGGAAUUACUGGGCGUAAAGCGUGCGCAGGCGGUUAUAUAAGACAGUUGUGAAAUCCCCGGGCUCAACCUGGGAACUGCAUCUGUGACUGUAUAGCUAGAGUACGGUAGAGGGGGAUGGAAUUCCGCGUGUAGCAGUGAAAUGCGUAGAUAUGCGGAGGAACACCGAUGGCGAAGGCAAUCCCCUGGACCUGUACUGACGCUCAUGCACGAAAGCGUGGGGAGCAAACAGGAUUAGAUACCCUAGUAGUCC